This 496-nucleotide ribosomal RNA is filed under the name uncultured bacterium. Its description in RNAcentral is "partial 16S ribosomal RNA". It matches the Rfam family "Bacterial small subunit ribosomal RNA", at positions 28 to 506 of the family's 1533-position model. The record is from RNAcentral.
GAUGAACGCUGGCGGCGUGCCUAAUACAUGCAAGUCGAGCGAACAGAUAAGGAGCUUGCUCCUUUGACGUUAGCGGCGGACGGGUGAGUAACACGUGGGUAACCUACCUAUAAGACUGGGAUAACUUCGGGAAACCGGAGCUAAUACCGGAUAACAUUUGGAACCGCAUGGUUCUAAAGUGAAAGAUGGUUUUGCUAUCACUUAUAGAUGGACCCGCGCCGUAUUAGCUAGUUGGUAAGGUAACGGCUUACCAAGGCGACGAUACGUAGCCGACCUGAGAGGGUGAUCGGCCACACUGGAACUGAGACACGGUCCAGACUCCUACGGGAGGCAGCAGUAGGGAAUCUUCCGCAAUGGGCGAAAGCCUGACGGAGCAACGCCGCGUGAGUGAUGAAGGGUUUCGGCUCGUAAAACUCUGUUAUUAGGGAAGAACAAAUGUGUAAGUAACUGUGCACGUCUUGACGGGACCUAAUCAGAAAGCCACGGCUAACUACGU